RNAcentral lists this ribosomal RNA (301 nucleotides) under uncultured bacterium. Its description in RNAcentral is "partial 16S ribosomal RNA". It matches the Rfam family "Bacterial small subunit ribosomal RNA", at positions 509 to 807 of the family's 1533-position model. The record is from RNAcentral.
CAGUAGCCGCGGUAAUACGAAGGGGGCUAGCGUUGCUCGGAAUGACUGGGCGUAAAGGGCGCGUAGGCGGAUUGUUUAGUUAGGCGUGAAAUUCCUGGGCUUAACCUGGGGACUGCGCUUAAUACAGGCAGUCUAGAGUGAGGAAGAGGGUUGUGGAAUUCCCAGUGUAGAGGUGAAAUUCGUAGAUAUUGGGAAGAACACCGGUGGCGAAGGCGGCAACCUGGUCCUUGACUGACGCUGAGGCGCGAAAGCGUGGGGAGCAAACAGGAUUAGAUACCCGUGUAGUCCCUGUCUCUUAUAC